This 300-nucleotide non-coding RNA is filed under the name Stegodyphus mimosarum. RNAcentral describes it as "eukaryotic small subunit ribosomal RNA". It matches the Rfam family "Eukaryotic small subunit ribosomal RNA", at positions 1180 to 1499 of the family's 1831-position model. The record is from Rfam by way of RNAcentral. Lineage: Eukaryota; Metazoa; Arthropoda; Arachnida; Araneae; Eresidae.
AGCAUGUGGCAUCAUUUGACUCAGUACGGAAGAGCUCGCCCGGCUCGGACACAGAAAAGAUUGACAGAUUAAGGGCUCUUUUUUGAUUCUGUAGGUGUUGGCGCAUGGCGGUUUUUAGUUGGUCGAGCGAUCUGUGUAGUUAAUUCCGAUAACGAAAGAAACUCUAGCCUACCAAAUAGACGCUCCGAUCCUUCGAGUUGGACGUUCUUUUUUUAGAGGGACAAGCGGCGUUUAGCUGCACAAGACAAAGCAAUAACAGGUCUGUGAUGUCUUUAGAUGUCCGGGCCCCGCACGCACGCU